AGGACGAACGCUGGCGGCGUGCUUAACACAUGCAAGUCGAGCGGAAAGGCCCUUCGGGGUACUCGAGCGGCGAACGGGUGAGUAACACGUGAGCAACCUGCCCUUAGCUCUGGGAUAGCUCCGGGAAACCGGAAUUAAUACCGGAUACGACCUAGGCCGACAUCGGCCAUGGUGGAAAGUUUUUUCGGCUAGGGAUGGACUCGCGGCCUAUCAGCUAGUUGGUGGGGUAAAGGCCUACCAAGGCGACGACGGGUA
Molecule: ribosomal RNA, 255 nt
Filed under: uncultured bacterium
Lineage: Bacteria
Description: partial small subunit ribosomal RNA
Rfam family: Bacterial small subunit ribosomal RNA
Source: RNAcentral